GCAAUACGAGUAAAUCGACUACUGGCCUUGAGAGUUGGGGCAAUCUAAAAUUCUAGGUAAACAUUGAGCACUGAGCAGUGGAUGAGGGAGUGAAAUACAUGACCUAAUUUCUAAUCUCAGGAGCGACUAGCGAGAUACAGCACUAGCAGACUAUCACAUUCACAGACUUUGCCGACUUUGCCGCAUCAUGGAUGAUGGUUUGCCGACUUUGCCGCAUCAAGAAUCUGAAAAUCUCCCUGCUGAUGAAGUGGUAAGAUUCAGUUUAUUAAUUACAAUUGUUCUGUUUUUGUUGUAAUAUGCUAAUGCUCUGCUUGAGAUUAGUAUACUCCUGUUAUGUAUUAGUAAUUUAGUAGUCUUGUUAUUGUUUGUAGAUACAUGUUAAUUUGUCAAAUGAGGGAGUACAAACUGAUGAUAAACAAGAAGAGAUACGCGAUGAGAAAACUAAAAAGAGUUCGCCGGCUUGGGAUUAUUUUGUUAAAAUGGAAGGUUGUCCAGUUGGUAAAGAAAAAGCCAAAUGCCGGUUGUGUAACGUGAUAAUUGGAUGCUUUUCACGAAAUGGUACAUCGGCAAUGAUGAAUCAUUUGAAAACGGUAUGUCCUAAAUCACCACUUCGUACUAAUCUUGAUAAAUUGCAAAAGACAUUGCGGUUUGAAAAAAUAUCAAAGGAAGAUAAAUUUCACACGGUUAAAGCACACACCUUUAAUCAAGAAAGGUUAAGAAAGAAACUUGCCUUGAUGUGUAUCAAAGACAAUCAACCCUUUAAGAUUGUGGAACACGAAGGAUUUAGAGAGUUAUUAAAGGAUGCCGAACCAAAAUUUAAGAUGCCAAGUAGGUGGACGGUUGCUAGGGAUUGUCUAAAAAUAUAUGGUGAGGAACUAGUAAAAUUGAAAAAGAGCUUGGCCACUCAAAGAGUUUCCUUUACCACGGAUACUUGGACAUCGGUUCAAAACAUUAAUUAUAUGUGCCUAGCUCAUUGGAUUAAUGAUGAUUGGAAGAUGUGUAAAAGAAUCUUAAAUUUCCCACAAAUUGGAAGUCACCAAGGGGAUGCAAUAGGAAAAAUGCUACUUGAUUUAUUUGCACAAUGGGGGAUAGAUCGUGUAUUUACUAUCACAUUAGAUAAUGCUUCCUCGAAUGAUAAGGCCAUUUCAUAUUUAAAGAAAUUUUUUAGAGGACCGGAGGCUAUAUUGGAGAAUAAAUUUUUACAUAUGCGAUGUUGUGCUCACAUAUUGAAUUUGGUGGUGAAAGAUGGUUUGAUUGAACAACAUGAUUCAAUUGCUAGAAUUCGUAAUGCAACUAGAUAUGUGAGGUCUUCUUCGGCAAGACUUGAAAAAUUUAGAAAGUGUGUUGAAAGAGAGAAAAUUAAAUGUGAUAAAAUGGUAUGCCUUGAUGUAGAUACUAGAUGCAAUUCAACUUUCAUCAUGUUGGAGGUUGCGGUUAAAUAUGAGGGGGCAAAUUGUCAAUGUUGUAGUUUUUUAUUUAUUUUUUUAUUGGAAUAUGUUGGUGCUAUUAGACUUUUAUUUGGCAAUGUAUUUUAUAAAUCAAAUAAAAAGAUCAAUCACAAACACUUUUAUGAGAUGUACUUUAAUUAUUAUGUAUUUAUUUUGUUUUCAUGAUAUUUGAAAUUCAUCCAAUUAUACUGAAGUAAUCUUAGCUGCUAAACUAGUUUUUUUUUUAUGAAUUGGAUUUAGUAUUAUCUAAUUUAUAUUGCAUUAAUGAACAUUUUAUGAAUAUAAUCUAUAACAUUGGCGGGAGAAAAAUAGUUACCGUAAAUUACCAAAAAAAUGAAAAUUAAUUAACCUUUAUUGCUGGCAUAGAAGUAAUACAAGUAUAGCACUUUUGCAAAGGGCUAUACAAAAAAAAAAUUGCUUGGAAAACACUAACUUGCAUGGCACUUUAGAAAGCCUUAUCUAUUUAAGAUAAAAAAAUAAUUUUGACUAUAUUUUAUAAUUAUUAUAUCCAUCUAAAAAGUAAUAUCACUAUAUUUUAUGAUUAGUUGAUAAAAAUUUUCUGAAUAAGUAUAUUCAUCUUUCUUACUAAUUUGCUUUUUCAAACAAAACAUGUACUCGUCUCCCUUUUCAAUUGAGCUCGACCUUUAUUUGUGUAAAUUUCUCUGAUCUAUUUUUUAAAUAUUUAUCAUCACAUUAUCUUGUGUAAAAGUUUACGUCAAACCCCGGUUAAACUUAUGUCAUAUAAUUUAUAAAAAAAUGCUUAUUUUGACCCAACUUCAAAUUAUCAAGAUGUAAUUUAUUUUGAAAUGAGUGGUGCGAAUGACAUCAAAAAAAUUUAUCGGUGAUCCAUCUGAAGCAAGCGACCUAAUUGAUAAUUAAACCGACAAAUUUUAUUUAAGGCAAAUUUUCCAAUUUAUUUUAAAUCUUUAUCUAGGCUAUCAUUUCAGCCAAACAAGAGAUAACUACUUUCAGACCUUUCAAUUAUGACAAGGGUGCCCAUUUACAUUGUACAAUAUGCGGCCCAUAUAUCAAAGAGCAUUAUUUUAAUAUGGGAUUUUCUAGUAUAUGCGGGAAAUUUUUAGACAAGUGUGACGCCUGUGUGCACAAAAAUUCAUAUCAAUUUAAAAAUGAUUGUUAGUGUGCGUGCACAGUAAAAAUACCCUUUUUAUAUUUAUCCAUCUCACUGAUCUACCUCAAUGUCUAUCUAAAUAGUUUUUUUUUUUUUGUCAGGUAAAUAGUUUAUUUUUUAUUUAAAGAUUUAUUCUUUUUUACACACGUAUAUAAAUGUUCAUUUCUAUGUAUUUUUACAUAAAGGUAAUUGCAUAUCACACCUCUUAACUAUCGUUCAAAAACGAUAUUAUACCCAUAUUUAAGGAAACUCAACUCGCAUCCUCUAUAUUUAUAUUUCAAGAACGAUACCCACCCCUCCGUUAAAUUCCGUUAACUUCCGUGAAAAUACUCCAUCCGUCUCAAUUUACAUGUCUCUUUUGUUUUUCGAGAAGUCAAAUUGACUAAUAUUUAACCAACUAUUAGAAAAAAUAUUUUUUUUAAACUGAAAAAAUAUUUAUUUAUUAUUUUAGGAAAUAGAAAGUUACAUAUUAAAAUAGACUAGAUUUACUUUUUGAAGAUAUUUUUUUUAAAAUUUUUGUUUAAUUAAGUUAUCCCCAAGUCAAAUGAUUAAACAAAAAUAAGUAAAUUUAGUGUAUUUUAAUAUGUAACUUUCUAGUUCUUAAAAUAAUAAAUAAAUAUUUUUUAAUAGUUGGUCAAAAUUUAAUUAAUUUGACUCCUCUAAAAGCAAAAAGGGCAUGUAAAUUGAGACGGAGGGAGUAUUUUAACGGAAUUUAACGGACGGGGUGCAUAUAUUGUUCUUGAAAUGUAAAAAUAGAGAGUGCAGAGUAAAAUAUAGGUACAAUAUCAUUUUUGAAAGAUAGGGUGUAUGUAUUUAAGAAGAUACCAGAAGCAUGUCUUGUCUGCUGCCACAGUUCAAGUGUUUGCCUGAUUCUUUCUCUAUUCAUUUCAAAACCCAUCUUCAAUCUUUCCCUUCUCAGCCCUGUAAGUAUCUUUUUUAUAUAUCAUAUAAUACAUAUAGUUUGUGGUUAUGCGUGUGUUUCUUUUUAUUCACAGUGUAAAGUUUGAAUUUUGAUGAUUGCUAAUGUGUUAUGGAUUGAGAUGAAUGAUGGGUCUAUUUGGUUUUCGAGAAUUAUGUUAUCGAGUGUAUUGCAUUGGUGAUAUGUGAUGAAUGUGAAUAGAAUUAGAGUUAAUCUAAUUUUAAUUAUUGUUUCCAUGGAAUGAACUCUAAUGGCGAAAAUGGUAUCUUUAGGAAAUUUGGCACAUAUUGAUAGAGGCAGAACUCGUGUUUGAUUCAAUCACUUCCUCCUUUUUUUUUUUGCUAAAGAUUUUUUUGCAUUAAAGAAAAGAAAUAAUUACAAACAUAGGAGAAUUAAAAGAGAGUGUUGUACAACCACAACCACUCAAGCAGAAUACCAGAAUGAAUAGACUAAAUUAAUCUAGGAGACUAAACAUACUAAUACCAAAUAUUGUCAUCAUGGGCAAACAAAAAGGCAACCUGCCAGAGGGAAAAACUAGUUAUCAAGACUCCAUACAGAAAGAGAAGUGGUGCGGAGGCUCUCAACAGCAAACCAAGUAGAAGAAUGAAGCCGACACUUAAUUAAAUGGAGGCAGUUCGAAGCAAGCUUAGCAGGAGAUGAAUAUUCCUCGCUGAAAAAUCUACUAUUGCGUUCACGCCAAACAGAAUAAAUAAUGACUUGAUAGGCCAGAAUAGAAAUACAGCAUAGCACAGCGAUGAGAAAAAACCAACUGGAUGAUACAUUGAGUAAAGGGACAUUCAAGAAACAAAUGGUGGUUCGACUCCGUACCAUUAAUACAGAAAAAGCAUGCAUCAGAAGAGGUGACACCACGAUUAACCAGUUUAUCAGCAGUGCUAACUCAGUUAAGCAUAAGGAGCCAAUGGUGAAAAGAGAACCUAGGAACUCCUAAUUUAUGCCAAACAAAAGGAGCCCAGAUUGUAUUAUUCCCCCGACGCCGGAUAGAAUCCCAAAGAUGAGUAACACGAAUCUUGCUCCCACAGAUAUUAUCCCAGCAAAUUUUGUCACGUUGAGCAAGAUCAAAUUGAGUGCUAAAAUCGAAUUGAUUUUUCCAAACGACAAGCUCAUGGAAAUUAGAAUGAGGAAGCAUCCAACCUCCAGGGGAAAUGAUAUCGGCAACAACAGCCUCCUUGCCUAGUCCAGAUAGACUAAUUAGUUGAUUAUCAUAAGAAGAACAGAUGGGUUGCCUAUUAAACCAAGGUGCAAACCAAAGAGAAACAUCUCGACCAUUUCCGAUGGAGUAAGAGAUGUGUUGCAAGGCAAUAUCUCUGAGCAAAAAAAUUUGCUUAAUAAUCCAAGAAGCAUUAUAAGGGCAUUGCAUAGACCAUAACGACCCCUUAAUGAUAGUUUUUUUCACCCAGGAAGCCCAAAGAGAGGUGGUCCCACUUCCUUGGGCCCUUAGACACCAAUUCACUCAUGCUUGAUUCAAUCACUUUGAUUACAUUAUGUGCUUAGAGUUUCUAAAGCACGCAGUUACAAAAUUUUCAACUAUUGCCGGCUGUUAAAUUUUUUAAAUAUUUAUUUUAUUAAUUCAACUGUUUGGAUGUGAAUGUCAUAAAAAAAUAAGCGAGUUCCCAAAUUUUUGUGUUCCGGAUAGGCCAGCUUUUUUUAUAUUUAUUAUUUUGGGCACUUGCCCGCUAUUUUGGGAAUUGCGCCUGGGAAUGAGCACACAAAAUUGGAUUGAGUUAUUUGGUUGGACAAGUAACUGCAUAUGCUAGAUAUUGUACUCUUUAGGCUGUUUUAAAAUCAUGAACUCUGUGCAGUUAUUACUCCCUCCGUCCCAUUUUAGUUGUCACAUUUCUAUUUUUGUUGGUCAAAUUGACUAAAUUUUGACCAAAGAUUAUGAAUCACUCUUUCAAUAUUUUAAAAAACUGAAAAUUACAUCUUAAAAUAGAUUGAAAGUUAUUUCCUAUGAUAUUUUUUUUUAAUUUUAUCAAUUAAUAAAAUAUUAAUAAAUUUCAGUCAAACUUUAGUCAAUUUGACCGGCACAAAACCAAAUGUGACAACUAAAAUGGGACGGAGGGAGUAUUAUCGAAGGUUUGCCCACAUUCUUUUCAAUUUCAGCUUUUCCCAAAAUAGCUUGAUCAAUAAUGUAGAGGAAAUAAUUAUUUUAAAAUUUUCCUCAGUUCUCAUAUUAACCUUUUAUCUCCGACGAUGUACACAUAUCUUCACUUGUUUUUUCAUCAAAAAAAAUGCCUUUUUUUUGUGAACUAUACGCUUUUUAACAAGUAUCGGUUCAAUUUCCACCCUAUUGGAAAUCUCGGUAGCUUCAACCAUAACUUACUGAAAUCCAACUGAUAGGGUAUAUAUUUACAUAUAUUCUAGAUGAUUUUAUUCUCAUAUUUAAUUGUAUUUUGCAUUGAAUUGGAUAUUUAUUUAAUAGAUUUUAAUGUUUUAUUGCAGGAAGCAAGGAGUUCCUAAACUUGGAGGAAAUUGGAAUAAAAAGCUUAAUUUGAAGAUUAAUUAGAAGGAAAUUCGGAUUUGUUGAAUUGCUUGCACUUGAAUCACUGUUUGGGCCAUAUCUUGAGUUCUAGAAGUCAGAAUUGGGUGAUCUUACAGCCCACGCGAAGCUUAGAGAAUUUUCUUUAAUUCAGAGGUGGUCCAAUAUCCAAAAUCCAACAGAAUCAGCCCAGAAACAGGACAGAAUAAUCUGCUGCGAAUUUUCUUUGGAGAAUCCAAUUCCGGUUUGGGAAACUGUUUUGUAUUUCCUUGUAAGCAUUAAAAUCAUAUAUAUUUAUAGGGAUAGACAUUAGAGAGGGAGGAGAAUUGUAUUGUAUAAUUAGGUUAGGUUAAAAACACUUUGUCUCUUCUUCUUCAAGACUUCAGGAUUGAAGAAUUCAUUGUAAUAUCCAUCUUUAUUUUCUUUUAUUUUAUUAUGCUAGAGUAGAUUUUAUUCUGGGAUUGAGUUGAACCCUAGUCGUGGUUGAUGCAUGAUUUUUGAUGAUCUCUGGUUGAUUAUGUUAUUUGCUCUUGCUUAUUGAGUUGUGCUAAUUAACAAUUACAGGUCAGACGUGAUUAUGUGUAUUGUUUGAACCGAUAUCUAUCUACCAUCGGAAGUUGGAUUUAGAUGGUUGUGAUUUAUCCAAUAAGGACAUGAACUUCUCCAUGGAAAUAGGUAGAAGGAAUUGUUUGGAAGUUAGGAUGCUGUGUUUAAUGUCUCUAAACUGCAUGAUACCAUGGAAAUAGGCUUGAUUGUAUUUUAGAGAAGCCAUUAAUACUCGGAAGAGGUUAUUGGUAUUUUAUAGGGCGCAUCUUUCCUCUUGGGUGAUUUAUCUGAUUAAUUGGGGGAGAAAAUCGUAAUUGCAUUAAUUCAUGCUAGUGGGGAUACUUGAUUCUAGAUAUUUUUAUUUAAUUGUUUUCUAGAUUUUAUUUGUAUUAGUAUAAUAUUAGUUUAAUAAUCUCCAUAUUUUUAUUGUGUUACUUGUUAGUUGGAUUGAAUCAAGAAUAACUAGUGUUUGAUACGUUUGUCUCUGUGGGAUCGACUCUGACUUACCCUACUACAUAGUUAGGAGGUUUGGUUAGAUAUUUUAUUAUUUGAUAGGCACGCGACAGCCUUGUCAAAUUUUUGGCGCCGCUGCCGGGGACAAAGCGGUAUUAGAUUAGUUUGUUUUUGAUAAGAUCCGACUAUUUUUUUUUUUUAUUAUUAUUGCUUCGGCUAUUAUUCUUGUUCCGUUUAAUCCUUCACUUGUGGUUUUUCUUGUGUUUGCAAUAUUUGUGUUUCAGGUUUCUACGAUAAGAAAAUAAGCGAGUGAAUGGAGGAGGAAGAAGAAAGCAUGGAAGCACUGACUAAGGCUAUGCAUUCAUUAUCUCGGACAAUCGAUGAAAUCAAGUCUAUACCUUCAUAUUUGGUUACUACUUGUGAAGUUUGUGGUAUGCGGGGACACCAUCGAAAUUUUUGCCAAUUCAACACCCCUUAUUAUCCAAACCAAGCACCUUAUUGGGAUGGUAAUUUCGAUUACACUACCAAUUACAACUCUAACCAAAUACCACAGUACAAUCCAUAUCCUAGCACAUACAACUCUGGUGGGGAAUAUUAUCCUAAUUUUUCCUACCAAAACCACUCACAUCCACCACAAAAAUCUAGCUUGGAAACUGCCUUGGAAACUUUUAUCUCCGAAUUUUCUCAAAGUCAACCAUUUAAUCCUCAGUUUGACGAGAUACAAGUUAGUCCAUGCCAAGCUCAAUUACCUGAAAUCAUUUACCCUCAACCACCACAAAACUCCAACUUGGAAAUUCUUUUGCAAGAAUUUAUUUCAUCACAAGAGAAAAAGAAUGAAGAGUUUAAGACACAUCUCAAUAAGAUGCAAGCUCAUAUGGCGCAAAUGACUCAACAGGUAACUCAACUCGUAGAGAUGCGCACUCAAACGGAUAGAGAACCUACGAGUCAAAUUAAUGAUGCAACUUUGUGGAAUGGUGGGGAGGUCAAAGAGUCUACAAACGAGGUCAGUAACAGUAAGAUAAUUUUUGAUUACUUUGAUGAUGAAGAUGAUGAUGAUUUUGAAAAUCUUACCCUUGUUGAUCCUUGUGUUUCUCAAGAAAUUAACUUAUGUGAAAAAUCUUGUGAUAACAAUGAUGUUGAUUUCUUAGAUGACUCUUUAUACAUGCUAUUUGAUGAGAGUGAUAAUAUAUCUGUGGUGGAAAUUAAUGCGGAUAAGGAUAUUGUGAAUUCAAUUUUGGUAGAUGAGAUAGAAUCAAUUUUGGAUGAGAUUGACUCAAUUGAUGUUAAGAUUGAGAAUAUGUAUAUGCCUUUUGUCGAUCUGAUUUGGGAGGAAUUUGUGAAAAGUAACUAUAAACCUGUUAGUGAUAAUUUCUCUAAAUACUUUCACAUUCCCAAAUUUAUUGAGCAUCAUAUAUGUCUUAUAUGCCAAUUUAUAUAUCUCCUUCGUAAUUUAAUUGUUGCUCAAAUGAAUAGAUUAAUUGAAAUUAGGAGAUAUGUACAUUUGUUUGCUUUUUCACCCCAUUGAUAGAUAUUAAUUAUUUAAAUAAGUCGAGCUAAUGACAAUAAACAAGCGCUUCUUGGGAGGCAACCCAUGAUUUUUAAGGUUAGUCAUUUUUUAUUUUAAUUUUUGUUUUUUUUAGAUUAGAAAUUUUUAUAUUUACUCCCUCAAAUUGCCUUGAUAAUUUUUGUGAAGUGUUUCAGAAAAGAAAAGAAAGCUCAAGAUUUGAAGAGAAAGAAAAAAAAAAGGUAAAAAAAAAAAAUGGAUCACAGGAGAUUUCAGUUCUUUGAUUGGCGGAACAGUGCUCCAAUACGCCCGUCUUCGUUUUCAAGAACGGCCGUCUUUGUCUUCUGUUUUCUGCGCUCACAAUAGCUACCGUUUCAGCCCAUUUCUGGCCCAGCCCGCUACAUUAGAUUGAGUCUGCUUCAUCUGUUGCUGGUCAAUUUCACGUCUGCUUGGGCCCAUUUUACUGUUCCAGUUCAUUACACCUUGCAAGCCCAGUCCGCGAUCAAAUCCAUUCGAGUGCAGCUAAGAUUUUGAGCCCAGUUGACAAGCCCAAACUGAGUAGUAAAAAUAUUUGCUCAAGGUGGGGAUUGAACCCCGUACCUCCAUAAUAAAAGACCAACACUUCAACCAUGUGCUUUCUGAAAAUUUAUGCUGUCACUCAAGAUAGAACACUUCAGGGGAGUUUCUUUUUCUAAUUUCUUUUUCUUUCUUUUCUUCUUUUCUUAUUAUUAUAUUAUAUAUUACAUAUUUAUAUAUUAUUCAUUGAGGACAAUGAACCAUUUAAGUGUGGGGAUGAGUUCUUAAUGAAUGAAAAAAAUCAAAAAAAUAUUAUAUAUGAUUAAAAUUAAAAAAAAUUAGAAAAUUAGAAAAAAAUUGCCUUGUCUUAAAUUUAGGAAAUUCAUGUAGUUGCAUUAGAUUAGAGCAUGUAGUUUUUUUAGUAGUUAUUUGUUUAUUUUGUUUUCUUAUUAGUUUGCAUUUGCAUAAUUCAUGGAAGUAUAUAAUACCGAGUUAAUUUCUCGUGAUGAUUUUAUUUGCACAAAUUCUUGGCUAGUAGUCUUGAUCAUAUGUGAUGUCUUGCAUGCUUAGAAAUUGUUUGUGCGGAAUUUUAAUUACACUAAAAAAUGCUCUAGAGAUGAGACUUAGGCUAACUUAAUUCUUGAGUUUUUGCUAUGAGUCGAGCGUAGAAUUUUGACUAUUCUCUUUUGAGCUUAGAGUAUGUAAAUCUUAAGUUUGGGGAAGCUGUGGGAUGUAUAUGCCUUUCUUGAAAAAAAAUAGAAUAUUAAAAUAAAGUAUCGAGUACUCCUUUGAGAUCAGUGGGUGACAAUUUAAUGUCAUGUGAAGGGGACGAUCCAUGUACCUGUGCUGGUAUUAAGUGCAAUGGUAUUAGAAAUAAAAAUUUCUUGGUGACUUUUCACAAACCUUGGUUACUGGAGAAUUACUCGACUUCAAAAAAAAAAUGAGAAAAAUAACGAGCUUGCGAAGUCUUAUAGUGGUCGUAACUCACUUACCCUGAGAAGCGUCCCAACCUUAGACCGAGUAUGCGAAAAAAAAAAAAGAAAAAAAAAUAUAUGUAUAAGAAAAAUAAGAAGAGAGGCAUAGAAGUUCCUUUGUGACCCUGAGCUAUAGUUGACUCUAAUGGAACGAAGUGUUUAAGCCUUAUUCUCAUUAACGGCUCAUGGUUAAGACUCUGUUGAAGUUUGUUUGUCUCUGUUUUAUUUUAUUAGAGAGCAUGUGAGCAAACAUGAUGCACUCCGUACUUGCAGUGGAAAAGUUGCAUGACUAAUAUGUGAGAUAGAUGAAUGCCUUGAUUGUUGCAUAUUCUGAAGAUUAUAUAUUGACAAAGUUAAUGCUUUCAUGAUUAUAUAGGCAUAUUCAUUUAGAUUGCAUUCAUAUUAGUUGCAUGUUUGAGACUUGGCAGAAAAAAAUUGGAUUUUGUGGGUAUAUCUUCUAUAAACCCUCACGAGACAAAACUCGUCCUACUAGGGCUGCCUAGGGGUUUAACGGCUUGUUGCAUGCGCUCAAUGCAAUCGUGUCAUCUACGAAAACGGUGUUAGGUAGUUAGUAUAGAUAUUUUUAUUUCUUUUAUUUGCCCGAGGACGUGCAAAAGUUAAGUGUGGCGGAUGUUUGAUAGGGUAUAUAUUUACAUAUAUUCUAGAUGAUUUUAUUCUCAUAUUUAAUUGUAUUUUGCAUUGAAUUGGAUAUUUAUUUAAUAGAUUUUAAUGUUUUAUUGCAGGAAGCAAGGAGUUCCUAAACUUGGAGGAAAUUGGAAUAAAAAGCUUAAUUUGAAGAUUAAUUAGAAGGAAAUUCGGAUUUGUUGAAUUGCUUGCACUUGAAUCACUGUUUGGGCCAUAUCUUGAGUUCUAGAAGUCAGAAUUGGGUGAUCUUACAGCCCACGCGAAGCUUAGAGAAUUUUCUUUAAUUCAGAGGUGGUCCAAUAUCCAAAAUCCAACAGAAUCAGCCCAGAAACAGGACAGAAUAAUCUGCUGCGAAUUUUCUUUGGAGAAUCCAAUUCCGUUUGGGGAAACUGUUUUGUAUUUCCUUGUAAGCAUUAAAAUCAUAUAUAUUUAUAGGGAUAGACAUUAGAGAGGAAAAAGAUAUAGUAUUGUAUAAUUAGGUUAGGUUUAAAACACUUUUGUCUCUUCUUCUUCAAGACUUGGAGGUUGAAGAAUCCAUUGUAUAAUCCAUCUUUGCUUUUCUUUUAUAUUAUUAUGUUAGAGUAGAUUUUAUUCUAGAGUUAAGUUGAACCCUAGUCGUGGUUGAUGCAUGAUUUUUGAUGAUCUCUGGUUGAUUAUGAUAUUUGCUCUUGCUUAUUGAGUUGUGC
This 11317-nucleotide long non-coding RNA is filed under the name Daucus carota (carrot). RNAcentral describes it as "long non-coding RNA (DCAR_LNC002756)". The record is from RNAcentral. Lineage: Eukaryota; Viridiplantae; Streptophyta; Magnoliopsida; Apiales; Apiaceae.